This 224-nucleotide unclassified non-coding RNA is filed under the name Hevea brasiliensis (rubber tree). The record is from RNAcentral. Lineage: Eukaryota; Viridiplantae; Streptophyta; Magnoliopsida; Malpighiales; Euphorbiaceae.
AUAUAUAUAUAUAUAUAAUUUCAAUUAUUUCUUCGAACUGCAAGUUAUGCAAAAACUUUGUUAGACACUCAACAUCCUAUAUCAAUAUGGAAACUACAGCGUGGCAAGUCAACACCAAGCAGUCUACCAUCUCAGUCUCAUCUGCAAAUUUGGGAACUUCACUCUCACAUCUUAACAUAGAAAUAUGCAACUUAGAAAAUAAUACAUCUGAAUAAAAAAUAAAA